This 494-nucleotide ribosomal RNA is filed under the name uncultured bacterium. RNAcentral describes it as "partial 16S ribosomal RNA". It matches the Rfam family "Bacterial small subunit ribosomal RNA", at positions 28 to 507 of the family's 1533-position model. The record is from RNAcentral.
GACGAACGCUGGCGGCGUGCUUAACACAUGCAAGUCGAACGGUGAAGCGCCUUCCUUUUUGGUGGGUGUGGGUGCGUGGCGAACGGGUGAGUAACACGUGAGUAACCUGCCCCCUUCUUCUGUGUAACCACAUGAAAGUGUGGCUAAUACGUGAUAUUCUGGGUCUGUGGCAUGUUGGUGCUGGGGAAGAUAUUGUUUCGGUGGGGGGGGGGGUGGCGGCCGAUUAUCUGGUUGGUGGGGUGGUGGCCUCCUAAGGAGGCGACGGGUGGCCGGCGUGCGGGGGUGGACGGCGACAACAGGACUGAGACGCGGCGCAGACUACUACGAGGGGCGGCAGCGGGGAAGAAUGCAGCAUGGGGGGAAGACUGCUGCAGCGACGCCGCGUGAUGGAGGGAGGCCGUCGUGGUGUGAACCUCUCUCGUCGGUGAAGAGGGAGUGCCUUGGUUGGGGGGGGGUUGACGGUAGCUGGAGAAGAAGCGCCGGCUAACUACGUG